CCUACGGGAGGCAGCAGUGGGGAAUAUUGCACAAUGGGGGAAACCCUGAUGCAGCGACGCCGCGUGAGUGAAGAAGUAAUUCGUUAUGUAAAGCUCUAUCAGCAGGGAAGAAAAUGACGGUACCUGAGUAAGAAGCCCCGGCUAACUACGUGCCAGCAGACGCGGUAAUACGUAGGGGGCAAGCGUUAUCCGGAUUUACGGGGUGUAAAGGGAGCGUAGACGGCAGUGCAAGUCUGGAGUGACAGGCGGGGGCGCAACCCCCGGACUGCUCUGGAAAAGGUACGGCUGGAGUGCAGGAGAGGUAAGUGGAAUUCCUAGUGUAGCGGUGAAAUGCGUAGAUAUUAGGAGGAACACCAGUGGCGAAGGCGGCUUACUGGACUGUAACUGACGUUGAGGCUCGAAAGCGUGGGGAGCAAACAGGAUUAGAUACCCUUGUAGUC
RNAcentral lists this ribosomal RNA (440 nucleotides) under uncultured bacterium. Its description in RNAcentral is "partial 16S ribosomal RNA". It matches the Rfam family "Bacterial small subunit ribosomal RNA", at positions 338 to 795 of the family's 1533-position model. The record is from RNAcentral.